Molecule: small nuclear RNA, 197 nt
Organism: Anastrepha obliqua
Lineage: Eukaryota; Metazoa; Arthropoda; Insecta; Diptera; Tephritidae
Product: U2 spliceosomal RNA
Exons: 1
Source: RefSeq, a predicted model, not a curated record
ACACUUUUUGAAAUAUUGAAUUUCGAAGAAAUUUCGAAUCUUUUUUGUUUUUGCAACAUCUGAUAGAUCCUCCAUCGGAGGACAACAAAUGUUAAACUAAUUUUUGGAAAUGGGUGGAGUGUUUUAGGCGCUUGCCUCCACCUCUGCCACGGGUUGGCCCGGUAUUGCAGUAACGCCGGGAUUUCGGCCUUGAAUAA